CUCUCGCUGGCACUCAGCAUGUCCUUAAUACAGACUGUUUUGUUGAUUAUUUUUCAAUUUCAGUUUGAUUUCUAGUCACUGUCUUUGUUUCUCCCAUGAUUGCCAGAAGGUGGUUUGUGUUUUUCUUCCCAUUCUCUGCAUAGAUCACCUAUGUCCUUAAAAUAUGUUCCAGCGCGGAAAAUAUUGUUCCAAAGUUGUUUUCUCUGUAUGAUUUAUUACUUCUUUCCUCCGCCAGUGUUUUUAUUGCAAGUUUUAAGGAUGCACCAAUAGAACAGCGGAAACCAGUUCACCGCUUCAACUGCAUUCCGUCAGAGCAAGAAUUAUGGGGGUCAGAUGAGAGUUUUCUGGCCUUUUGAUCAGACUGUUGUGCUGAGUGAAAUUAUAGAAGAUGAAAUUUGCACCCUUGUCGAGGAGGUGUAUAAAGAUUCAGUGGGGCUUUUCUGAUGAUGACAGAUUUGCAGCUGCUGCCUGCAAGAGUGAGAGUCAACAUCAAUUCUUUAAUAAGCGUCCAUAUUUCAGAAACAGUGUGUGUGACCAAAAUGAAUGGAAGGAUCCUUCCUUCUCAUUGUGCAGACUUUGAGAUGAGUUGUCUGUGGUGCAGAUGCUGCUCUCUCCCAAGCUGUCAAUGGAGCAACCUGAUUCCCAG
Centrocercus urophasianus (Greater sage-grouse) is the source of this 646-nucleotide long non-coding RNA. RefSeq lists it as uncharacterized. The record is from RefSeq and is a predicted model, not a curated record. Lineage: Eukaryota; Metazoa; Chordata; Aves; Galliformes; Phasianidae. The transcript has 3 exons.